UCUAAUUUAAAAUUUUGGUUAUAUGUGGUAAAAUUAGAUACAGAAUUUUCAGAAUUGUAAAAAGACCAUGCCUUGAAAUAUUUAAACCAUUUGGAGUCUUAAAAAUAUAAAAAUAUUCAUACUAUAUUUCUGUUUAGUGACUGUAUAUAUCUGAACCUAAGAGUUCUGUCUACUUUGCAUACUCAGAACAUUACUGAGAAUUUGGAAGGAAAUAAGAGACCUCUCAUUAACCAAAACACCUCAUGUACUGGGUGGGAAUGUGAACUGGUGCAACCACUAUGCAAAGCAGUAUGGAGACUCCUCAAAAAGUAAGAUUUACCACAUGAUCCAGGUAUCAUAUGAUCCUGGGUAUUUAUCUAAAAAAUAUGAAAACACUAAUCAGAAAAGAAAUAUGCACCCUUCUGUUCAUCCUAGCAUUAUUCAUGGUAGCCAAGAUAUGGAAGCAACCUAAGUGCCCAUCAAUGAUUAAAGGGAAAAAAAUGUGAUACGCAAACACAUACUGGAAUACUACUCAGCCAUAAAAAAGAAUGAAAUCUUGCCAUAUGUGAUGACACAGAUGGUCCUUGAGGGUAUUACACUUAGUGAAAUAAGUCUGAUGGAGAAAAAUACCAUAUGAUUUCACUCAUAUGUGGAGAAUAAAAAAACUAACUAAAUGAAAAAACCAAACAAAAACAAACACAUAGGUGCAAAGAUACAAAGAACAGAGUAGUGGUUACCAGAUGGGGAGGAGUGGGCAGGAUGAAAUAGGUAUGAUGAUGGAUGGAAACAAAAUUUUUGGUGGUGAGCAUGCUGUAGGGUAUACAGAAGUUGAAAAAUAAUGUACACAUGAAACAUAAAAUAUUAUAAACCAAUGCUACUUCAAUAAAAAAUAAAAAAAAAACAGUUCCAAAUUAUAGGUACAUUAUAAAAGCCCUUUGAGUGAGAAACUAAUUUUUCUUUCUUAUGCAUAAUUCUAACAAUACAGGUGAUAUAGGAUAUAAACUCUGAUGAAGCAAGUCAAUAAGCUCUGAAAUCCAAAUGAAUAUAUUCCAUCUGAAAUGAACAGGUUGUACAAUUAAUUCAAUGUAUAACCAGCAGCACAAGAAUUUUUAUCUUAACGUGGACCCUCAGAAGAUGAGCUGUGCAGAUGAUUCAGAAAACAAAGGCAAGAGGAUGGCCCACGCACACAGCCAUCCAGGGAUGCCCAGGGUCUCACAACCUUACUACAUCCAAGGUGGCAUCCUGAGACAGAGAUGAUCAGAGGGAAAGCUCAGCGAGGUCAGAGCACCCGGGAGACGAGCGGGUCUGGGAGGGAGAAGGAGCUCCUGGGAGUCACGGGCGUGGAGGGAUGGGUGGGUGGUGGGCCAGAGAGCGAGAGCUUGAGGUCAGGAUGAGCUUUAUUUAGGAUGCAGGACUCGAGGAGGAGCCUGCAGAAAGGGACCAGACAUUGGAAAUAAGAGAAAUAGUGGCAACAACGCAGGCAAAGCGUGGGAGGGAGGGUGUGAAAGGCACAAGGAACUGAGUCACUUUCCCGGGCUCCUUCCAAUCCCCUGACCUGGUUGCUUCCAUUUUGAGAGACAUUUACAACCACGCUCCUCAAAGUCGGUCCUCAGACCAGAGGCGUGAGCAUCACCUGGGCGCUGGCUUGCUGACUCUCUCCCCACCCAGACCUACCCAACCACGACCUGCACGUUAACAAGAGUGCAGGUGAUGUUCAGUCAAGUUUGAGACACGCUGACUUAAAGCGGUGGUUAUGAAUGUAGGCAUUGAAGUGAGAUAGAUCUGGGUUCCAAUCCAGUUCUACCUUGACCCCACGAUACGUGCCCUUAGGCCCUAAGCCUCAGUUCUCCUCCUCUGUAGAACAGAGAGAAUGAUAGUAUUAUGUCUCAGGGGCCCUGGGAAAACUUAAGCGAGGUCAUGUAAGGAAAAAGCAUGGCCUUAAGGCUGGCAAACGGUAAUGAUAUUGUUUUUUGUUCAUCCCUUCCAGCCACCUUGGAUAACAGCUCUGUUCUGUCUGCAUCUGAGCCCCUGUAGGGAAUGAGUUCACUAAAGAUGGGGAACACUCAUUCAAUCAUGCGAUCUGUACCCAGGUGUGCAAUAUUGAGAUGAAACCCUCAACACAGCACAUGCUGACAUGAACACAGGGCUGGGACAUGGGCCACUCAAUGACCCACAGCAAACAGGAAAGCGCUUUCUUCAACUCUGUGUACACAAAAGCCAGUUAUAAAUGGGUUAUGAACUUGCUUGGGAUUAAAGGAUCAACUUUCAGAAGAGAAUAAGCAAGUAACGAGGUGAAAUACACCCCUCUUUCAAAACCUCCUGCAUCAGUGCAUGGCCGUGAGAAAGGGGGACAGAGGUCCUUUGGAACCCACAUCCAGCUGCUGUACCCCUCCUCUGGAGGCCAACCACCCCGAGACGCUUCACCCUAGGGAUGAAGUUUAAUGCUCAGAAAAAGCACCUAAAUCAAAUCACACAAGAUGAGUUUCUUCAUUUUCGGCAAAACUCCAAUAAUGAAGUGGCUGAUUUCAUCGCAUGCACCUUAAUUUCCUGUGUUGGCAAAAGAGCAUAUACAGAAACCCCAGCAGGCUUGUAAUAGGAGGACGAGUCUUUCUGCUUGCAUUAUUAGAUACGGGGGGGAAAAAAAAACAGAACUUAGAACACAGAACACCCACUUCUGUUGUGAACAAUAAUGGCAAGAGUAGUUUAUGCAGCUAAGUUCUGAUAUGAAGAAUCCACAGGUCAUUUCAAGGCAUUCAAGCAGCUCACAUCUGCGGAACAGCCACUGAGCAAUGGGUGCUGGGACCCAAGUGCCUCAUUGGGCACCCCCUACAGAGGAAGGGGGCCCCAGAACACAGUGUCAGGGUCCCAUGGGAUAAAGCACAGGCUUAAGUCAAGGUCCCAGAACCCAGGGGCAGAAGCAAGGUCAUUCUGAAGAUGGAUAGGACAGCGGAGGACAUGGGGCAAAAGGGUGAUGCCAUCAUCCAGGAGUAACCAAUCAAUACUGACUACCCCUCUGGAGUUAGAAAGUGACAAAGUGGCUCCUCGCUGUAUAAGCAGGGAAUGAAGGAGGUGGAGCCAGCUCAUAGGCUUUUGGGCAGAAGCCUCACUGUCCAGUUUUUCCCCAUGAAGCACCUAUUUCCGAAGAGAGGAGGACGUCAGAAUUUCAGCCAGAACUGUCAGUGUGCAGAAAGUAAAACAAAGUUCUCCGCCUGACUGCUCCUGCCUUCUGCAAAGUUCUGCUUUCUAAAUGCCGAUGAACUUGAGCAAUCAAGAGAAGUAUUUGUUUAAGCCACGCCUUUCCAGGGGUUGAAAAUGCAAGCACCAGGGUCUGAAGUCUGUCCUCAUUUCUGCUAUGAUGGGACCAGCCUUGGAAUCACUUUCUUUUUCUCCAUAUAACUUGGGAACUAGACUUGGAAUCACUUUCUUUUUCUCCAUAAACUUGGGAUUUCAACAUCUGUGAGUAAAGACCAAAACAUACCCCAUCAUCUCGUAACACCUACACUAAUACACACCCAUGACUCUGAGCCUGGGCUGCCUGGACCAUGGACAAAUAAAUUUUUACUGUGGGUAGAUUUUUAAAAAGCAAAAAGGGGUUUUUUUUGUUGUUGUUGUUUAACAGUAUUUUUCAACCAAUAAAGCACCCUCUCCCAGUUAGUCUAAAUCAAUCAAUCAAUGUCUGUCCGUCUCUCUCCCUCUCAAAGCUUAGGGAGAGCUUCACUGGUUUGGAGGACAAUAUUUCGAGCUCCAAGGUCAUGUGUAGGUCACUGGCUUGGAACACCAGAUGAGCAAGCCAAGCCCUCUCUCCCAGGCUGCAGCUUCAAGAGCAAUGGGUGUGGAGCAACGCACAGCAGGAGCAGAACUGCUGGCCUCCUGGUCCAGAUGAAAUCUUCAGAUGAAGAAUGACUUCAAAAUCUUCCCGUCUCAGCUCUCCCAGUCUUCCAGCUCAUCUACUCGAAUUCUUCCUGCAAAAGGAG
Odocoileus virginianus texanus is the source of this 3953-nucleotide non-coding RNA. Lineage: Eukaryota; Metazoa; Chordata; Mammalia; Artiodactyla; Cervidae. The record is from RefSeq and is a predicted model, not a curated record.